Molecule: long non-coding RNA, 155 nt
Organism: Triticum dicoccoides
Lineage: Eukaryota; Viridiplantae; Streptophyta; Magnoliopsida; Poales; Poaceae
Exons: 2
Source: RefSeq, a predicted model, not a curated record
CUUAUUUCAGGAUGACCCGUGACGUUGCCCCUAGAAUUGGUUGUCAAAAGCCAUCACUGACUGAAUCCAGAUUUUUCCCUGCUCUUCAGGGGGAGAGCACGAAAAUGUCAGCUAGUGAUCCAAAUUCUGCGAUAUAUGUGAGAGAUAAUGAAGAA